AGAAGAAUCCGGAAACAAAGCCUCGGGGAAGAAACCACAGACCUCCUUUCUGGAAACAUCUGGGUCGGGACUCCCCACCGAGGGGUCAUAGACCCUCACUUCCAGGGUGUGCCCUGACCUCAGCAUGACUGGGGCUGGGGCAUAUCCUGGAGCCCCAGAUAGGAACCCAACCAGAGUGACCGCGGCAAGCAGGGCAGUGGGUCCCAUGGAAAACUCCGCCUCCGCUUCCCGUUGCUUGGCCACCUGUCCUCAAUGCCGGGCACCCCACUAGGCCUCCGGGCUGGGCAACAACGGCCAGAGGGAUGGUCACUAAACCCGUUUCCUCGCUCUGGACACAUGGCUAAGCAACAUUUUCACCCCCUCGCUGCAGGCGGGGGCCACAGGACUGGCUCCAGUCAGCGCAAUGUAGGUCGAGGUGACGUCACCUCUGUGCCAUCCUCUGCUCAUCACUAGCAGUGGGGAGGCCGAGGCUCCGGGAAACCGGACCCCGAGUCACCUUGUGGAAGACCCACUGAGCACCCCGUUGGACCCGAUUGAAGGAGAAUGCGCUUCGGCUGCAUCACGCCACUGAAGACGCAGGGUUACUUGUGACAGCCGCUGACCUCACCCACCCUGCCCAGCACACCGCACCUCGACAAGGCCAAGGCCAAGAAUUGACCUCCUGGAGCUCAUCACGUUCUCAGCGUGAGACUGGAAGCGGAAGCCGAGAGGCAGGAGGUGAAAAUGCCUGGUGCAGAGCGGCUGCUCCAAAGUGGAACCCUGGCAGACGAAAGGACACACAAAACGUGGUCGGACCACUCCAUGGACUAUUCCUCGGCGAGAGAGGAAUGAGGCACUGACACCCCCUGCAACGCAGUAGACCCUGACGACGCUGCUGAGUGAAAGCAGCCAGACACCAAAGGCCGCAGUGUGGGAGCCCCCCAGCCUGUGAGCCAGAGGCUGAACCAGUUGAGGGACAAAGACCAGCCCGGCCUGGGUUCCUCAUCGGGCGACUGCCCCAGGACCUUGCCAUGUCCUUCACCAGCAAAGGGUGGGUGCCUCCUGCAGAUGCUGACAGCUCCACCCUCCCCACCUCCAAGAUUUGCUGGGGCUGAAAUGCCCCCCACCCCCAGAUUCCAAUGACCCAGCACAAAUGCCGCCUCUCCCAGGAAGCCUGCCUGGACCCCAGGGAAGAAAACAUCCCACUCGCUGAUCAUACGAACUCGUCUGACUUUAAACUUCCCAAGAGCUGCCCACGAUGACUGUUGCAGCUCCGACCGGCCCACUCUUAAUUUAUUUUCACAGUCCCCAGUCCUCCGGGCCAGCCGCACUACAAUAACCUAUUGUUAACAUGGAAGUCUCCCCAUGUGGGAACGGACAUUUGGAAGACCAUCCUUUGAACGGACACCAGGCUCACCAAGUCCUUGAUUCAGUAACACGGACUGCGGCAGCAAUUUGAGGGGAGAUGAGGCACCAGCCGGGCACAAAGACACAGACACCCCCUUUUUAUUUGUCACAGCUGAGUUGUCAUACAUUCCCUCGAAUAAAUGUUCCCAUCUG
This 1539-nucleotide long non-coding RNA is filed under the name Homo sapiens (human). RNAcentral describes it as "HSALNT0234623". Lineage: Eukaryota; Metazoa; Chordata; Mammalia; Primates; Hominidae. The record is from RNAcentral.